RNAcentral lists this ribosomal RNA (265 nucleotides) under uncultured prokaryote. RNAcentral describes it as "partial 16S ribosomal RNA". It matches the Rfam family "Bacterial small subunit ribosomal RNA", at positions 524 to 788 of the family's 1533-position model. The record is from RNAcentral.
UACGUAGGUGGCAAGCGUUGUCCGGAUUUAUUGGGCGUAAAGGGAGCGCAGGCGGUGACUUAAGUCUGAUGUGAAAGCCCACGGCUCAACCGUGGAAGGUCAUUGGAAACUGGGUCACUUGAAUAUAGAAGAGGAAAGUGGAAUUCCAUGUGUAGCGGUGAAAUGCGUAGAGAUAUGGAGGAACACCAGUGGCGAAGGCGGCUUCCUGGUCUGUAACUGACACUGAGGCGCGAAAGCGUGGGGAGCAAACAGGAUUAGAUACCCU